GUGCCAGCAGUCGCGGUAAUACGUAGAAGACUAGUGUUAUUCAUCUUUAAUAGGUUUAAAGUGUACCCAGACGGUUUAUAUAGCCUAAAUAAGGUACUAUAUAUAACUAGAGUUAUAUAUGUAAUGGCGCAGUAAGGUACUGUUGAGUGUAAAGAUGAAAUUUUGUCAUACCAGAUAAGUGGCACAGAUUUAGGCGAAGGCAUCGUUUUAUGUAAUAACUGACGUUGGCGGACGAAGGCUUAAGAAGCGAACAGGAUUCGGUACCCCAGUAGUCUUUGCAGAUAAUGAUGAAUGUCAUAGGUUAAAUAUAAUUUUGUCUAUAAAUGAAAGUGUAAGCAUUCCACCUCAAGAGUAAUUUGGCAACAUUGGAAUUGAAAUCAUUAGACCGUUUCUGAAACCAGUAGUGAAGUAUGUUGUUUAAUUUGAUGAUCCGCAAAAAACCUUACCACAAUUUGAAUAUUAAUUGUUAUUACAAGCGUUGCACGGCUGUCUAUGGUUAAUAUCGUGAGAUUUUGGUUAGCUCCUUAAAAUUAACGUAAACCCUUACUUUAUUUUUAAAUAAAGUUGUUCACCGCUAUAUUGGAUAUGAUAACAGGGACUAAGACAAGUCAUCAUGGC
This 618-nucleotide ribosomal RNA is filed under the name Degelia durietzii. Its description in RNAcentral is "SSU rRNA". It matches the Rfam family "Bacterial small subunit ribosomal RNA", at positions 505 to 1199 of the family's 1533-position model. Lineage: Eukaryota; Fungi; Ascomycota; Lecanoromycetes; Peltigerales; Pannariaceae. The record is from RNAcentral.